AUGUUCAAUCGAUCUAUCAAUUGCAACCGAAGGCAAAGCUGAACUGAGACGAUUUGUCACAGCUAUAAGAACGCCACCGACCCUCUUUUUUGAAGAGGUUAUUGAACUUCUAUCCGUACGGUAGACAGUAAACCGAUCAUUAAACAGCUGUGCUGAGUAGAACUCAUCAUUAAGCCACGUCUCAGUGAUGACGAUCACAUCAUUCAGUUACAACAAGGAAGAAGUCAGUAACUUUCGUACGCAGUCCUCUGAUAUUCUGAUAGUAAACAGUGAUGUAGUUCCCAUGUUCCAUUUCAAGAUUGUAUGCAGAACCAACCAGUUGGUUCGGAGUCGGUGUCGUCACGUUGACACCAGUCAGCUGUUGAGCCAUAGCCGUCUGGAAGUUGGUCACACUUGAGCGGAGUGCGGCAUCUGAGUUCGCUUCGGCGGGACAUAUACUUGUUCUAACUUUACCUGGACCAGCCAGCACGUUUAACUGGUGAGAGAAUGCAGAAUCCAGAGUCGCAACGUCAGGGUCAUUGUAACACAGUGGCAACAGUCGAGUUACGUCAAACACGCAAUGCUACCAUAGACUCAAUAGUAAGAUAUAAAUGUCGGGAACAAAUUCAGUUCAAUUUGUGACGCCAGUUUUCCCCCAUGUUUCUCCCAGAAAAAUCGCCCAAUACUGGUUUCAUUGACGGCUGACGCGCUGCCUCUAAUGUCAGUUUGCUCUUUCUAGGUGACCAUGACCUUCCAUGACAACGUUUAUUUGUUUAUUAGAUAUCGAGGUCGAAAAAAGCUAAUGCAGAUUUUUCGACAUUGAUUUGGAACUAACUUUGACCUCGGAAAUAUUCAGAUUUUCCAGGUUUCUGAGUCGAAGCCUAGGUGGAAGCGGACGGGUUUUGUUAGUAUGAUAUAACCUGAUGCGGCGCUGAAACUGCGGCCUAGUCGGUUCCGUGAUGGUGUAGUUCUCGGUGCCACGGUUGUUGAACGGUGAAUUAAUUGGGCUUGCGUAAGCCUUGAAGGCUGAUCCCAAUUCAACGCCACCCAUCGGAAGCUCCCACAGAAACACGUCUAUCUUUAGCGGAGGAAUUCUAAGCGUAUAAAGAUUCUGCCGAUAGUGUGGGGACUAAUGUGACGGUGUGAGGUUCAAAGAGCUCUUCAUAUGUUGACCACGAACCUGAGCAUUCAUUCUUUUUAAUUAUAUUGGUAUGAACUUAUGAAGUUGAUCUGGGUAUUAUGUCAGUCAUAGAUUGAGACUCAUGUCCGGCGUACCCAAUAAACAGAUCAGUAAAUUAGUUUUUAAUGAUCUGACAUGCCUGCAUCAUUCUCAUUACACCGUAUUAAUAUCCGGGAGCACUAGGUACCCCCAAGGUAGCACUAAUCAUCUCGGUAGAAACCUCGGUGAAAACUAUAAUCAACCAUAACGCUACUAGUUCCACCGUUGCGGUCCAGUAAUUGUAUGUCUUGGAGCGAUAGGAAAUCUACCACGAGAGAUAGACGUUUUUUUUCAAGAGCUUCUUGCGGAUGGCGGUGGAACGAGAUAGGUCAUCAAGGACUCCGGUUUUUCAGUCAACAUUUUGACAAUAAAAGGUUUGCUCCUAAAAUGCGGAUCCACUCCUAAAGCAAAAGUUAACGUCGGAAUAUGAGAAUUAUACUUUUUUCUACUAUGGCUCAUAAUAAUCAAGCGAUUUGCUCGUUGUCAUGGUCAUCAAACUGGCAGACUGAAAAGGAAGAAAGCGUCGCGUUGCGUUGCUUCAAGAAAACCAGCAUUGGGCGAAUGUAUUGGGGGAACGACUGGCGUCAUAAAAAAUUCGCCAGCAUCGUAUUGAUUGUUGAUGCUACGGUGGCGCAAUGCUACGGUGUUCAGCUGUAAAUAUUAUGCGUAGCGCGAAAAUUUUUGAGCGCAAGUGCUCGUAUACCUCCGCCAGUACGGUAAAUCGUGUUGGUGUUUUCGGCGCAGUAUUAUUUGGCCCAUUCGCGCAUUUAUUGUAAAAGACACCAGAACGAUUAAACGUACGAGCGGAGGCCUAUUAGCGAUUUUGUAUCAUUUUCGCUCUCUAUUUUCUUGCAACGAAUAAUAUAAUGAUUUAGAAUAAAUGUUCCUUUCAUUAGUGUUUUGUGUAAACGUUCGUCAAGUACGAGCUCAACCCUGGAAACCGUUCUUCCACUGGCAACUAACAACCAUGUUGUGGGUCGGUGGAUCAAGCCCCGUUUUAGUUAUUUUAGUGAUCCAUUAAGGCUCAUUUUUCGAAUUGUUUUACAUAAUAAGAAACCAAGAAUAAAUGUAAUGUUUUAUUGAUUGUUUUCAUCCUACAUAAUUCUACACUACUUCUUUUUGCUACAGAGUCAAUUAUUGUUCACACGAAUUAGAAAAUCUUGUACCUUUACAUAUUUACAUUUUUUAGUAAGAAUUAUUCAGUCAAAAAACUAAGGUAAUCACAUGCUUGGCGGUAUUGCAAUCAUAAACUCAAUUAGUAAGUGACGGUUCUUCCAAAUAUAAUCUUUUAGUCAACAGAAAUGAAUGAACUGCAAAGUAAACCUGUUUUAGGUGAUAAAAAAGCUCUGAAUGUUGGCUCCUUGUGCUCGGAUUUCUCUUUUCUAUAACAGAAUGCGAAACUACAUUUUUCGAAAAUAUAAUAACAUUAAAAACAAUUUUAGUUAGGAAACUUCUGUAAAUGAUAAUUUAGGAAAGAUUAUUUUCGAUGAAGUGUUUGCACCGGUUAUUCGUCAGACAACGCUGCACUUAUUCUUGAAGGUAGCUUCGAAUUGUAAUUUUGUGGUACGUCAUAUGGGUGUUGAGAUAGCAAACUUCAAUGGGACUUCUGAUAAGAAUUUUUUUAUGCGCCAGUCGCCCGGAUUUGGAUGAGAGGUUUGUAUGACUACCUCAACGGAGCAUCUUAGAGUUGCGCCAUUCAGUAUGCUGCUGGAAUAGAAGGUUGAACGAGGUACUGGUCAAAUUGGGGUUCAAGGCGUCGUCAAAAGAUUAGUGCCUGUGCCUAAAGAUGACGGUCACUAGCGGUCACUUUCAAAGCAAAAUAAUUUGCCUAGCAUUUUAUCGAGCACAAAUCCGACUUGGCAAACGCAUUGAUCUAAAAAUGCUACUUGAUGUUCACUGCAAGUAAGCCAACAACGAGGUUCAAGCUCCACCACCCUACGAGAAGAGCAUCAUCAACCACCAACCGUAAUUCAAAAAACCUCCACUAGAUGGACGGUUACCGUCCUUGGGCGUAAUGGGGUCAUUAGGAAAUACAAAAAUGGGACUAGGGGCGAUGACCGCGGUGCGAGGGCAUGCACCUCAAAUCGGUCGAUGACUUCAUGUUUCAGGCUCACUUAUCUGUAGUCCGUCGAUCAAAAUAGUUGAAAAUUUAUUGAAGGACUUUGAAGAGGUGGGAAGGAGGCGAAGAGGGCAUUAUGUAACAGCAAUAUCCUUCAGUGUAGACCUGAAAUGUAAUACCUUCCCCCAUCUCAGAACCCCGCCGUUUCUAGUUUGAAACCCAGUGCGCUACUACGUUCGCGAGGCUCGUAAGUCGGCAAAGUCCGAGAACCGAUCCGCCAAAUUACCGGUAGGAUCCAAACGCGAGUAGCCGGCCAAGAAGGAUAGCGCAGCGCGAGUCCCAAGCCACUCCGGAACCCGUGAAGCGUACCGAGGAUCUAUGCACGUGCGCGAGAGCGAGAAUUACCUGCCUGCGAGUAAUUGAGUAGUGAACGUGAGGCCAUUGAGUCGGAGAGUCUCUGUGAUACUCCCGACUGACCUACCCAACACCUACACAAUUGGGCAUGAUUCAAGUCAACCCAGGUAACCACUAAGCACUGUUCUGAGCAUUAUAACGGCCAUUAAACAGCUUUUCAGUGCUAAGUAGCUCUAUAUAAGGACUGUUCAAUUUAUAAAACGGACAACUUUCUUGUGCGAUAUCUUUUUUAUUUUUCAAUAAAAUCAUUAUCAGUUUUUUGCAUAACUUUCUAUAGCUAUUCUCAAAUGUAGGAAAAAUAUAACAUUGAACAAAAUGUUCUUUAUUGUGUAACUGAUGCGGUUUUCGUAAAACAUCAAUAAAACCCCAUUUCUCAAAAUUCGACAUUACUUUCCACAUACUUAUCAUGCACAUUUUCAUGAAGUUUUUAAUGUAUUGGAAUCUUGUACUAUCCAAUUAAAGUUAAAGCUCAAUAGUUGGUCAAUAAUAACACAGCGCAACAUUUUUUUGUCUCAAGAGCAAACUUAUGUGUCUCCGAAGGAUUUUGGGCCGCUGAAUCCGAAUCCGGGCUCAGAUUUGCUCUAACAUGUAACAAUUUUGAGCUAUACCUCAAUUUAUGGGGCAAAAUAUGCGAUUUUGGGCUUUUUUGACUGCAAGCCAUUAAGCAAGGCAAUAUUUUUUUAAGUAAUCAUAAGGUUAAUUGGUCAAUUUACAUCUAAAUUAACGACUCAUGCAAAAUAUUUUGUUUUACCUAAUCAAAUUUGAUAGAUUUAAUCAUUUUAUGUUAGUAUGGAAACUUGCAUGCAACUGCUGGAGGGUGACUUGUAUGGGAAAUAUCGUACCUAACAUAAAUCGCUUAAAACUAUCAAAUUCGAUUUGGUAAAACGAAAUAUUUUGCACGAGUCGUUAAUUUAGAUGUUAAUUGACCAAUUAACCUUUUGAUUGCUUAAAAAAAAAUAUUUUCUUGCUUACGGCUUGCAGUCAAAAAAGCCCAAAAUCGCAUAUUUUGCUCCAUAAAUUGAGGUAUAGCUCAAAAUUGUGACGUGUUAGAGCAAAUCUGAGCCCAGAUUCGGAUUCAGCGGCCCAAAAUCCUUCGGAGACACAUAAGUUUGCUCUUGAGACAGACAAAAGGUUAUUUUUUGUUACGCUGUGUAAUGCACCAAGCAGUCUCCAGCUUGAUAUAGUGAGUUGCCUUGUUUUCAUAGAAAUUAUUAAAAAGUGUUCAUUUAAGUGCUAUGUUUCAAUAGCAUCACGGAUUCGGCUAAAAAUUUGUCCAGGGUAGUAGAAUAUUGAUCUCUGAAUGAUGCAGAAGAAAAAAUUACUUUUAAUUGCAUUUUCCAUCAAAAAUUUAAUCCAUAAAGAUAAUCAUAUUAAUAAAUUUCAUACUUUUUGCUCCAUUAAUGCAGAUUUUCGACUCUAGCGAAUCUUGUUAUUAUUUAUUUUCAACAAAGUUGAUCCUAUGUUAUUGUACACCUUAUUUAAUAAUAAUCGGAUGCAAAGUUUUUAUUUCCAACAUCAUUGUUACGCAAAAUUUGCAUUAGGUUGCAUUGAUAUUUGGAAGAACCUUCAAAGAACGAAACGGUUUUGAUUACUGUGUCUGUCAUGGCGCACAGUAACCAAACCAGCAAUGCUAUUAAGAAGCAGUUUUCUGCAUUUAAAACCUUAUCAUUCCCACUUUCGACUGGAUGCAUAAAAAAAUUGAUUAUUUAAUAUUUUCAUGCCCUUUUUGCUUUAUACAUAAUUCAAUUUUAUUCAAAAAAUCGAAUCUCACUUAAGACUUCAAUAUCUCAACACCUAAUUUCCCGAUUGAGUUUAAAUUUUGCCAGAAUGUUUAUUACUCAUGCAGCUGCAGCAUGGCACAUACUUUUCUGGUAUUAAAAAUGAUAUACCAUAAGUAAACAGUGAUUUUAUAUAUAUUUUCAAUUUUCAGCAAUCGAAAAAUUCACCUCAUUUAACACCUGGCCGAUUUUCUAUGAAAUAAAACUAUUUUUAUUCGAUUCAAAAAUGAUUACUAUAAUGAAAGAUGAUGUACUGAACAACGAAACAAGGGUGGUUAAAUUUGAACAAAGCGUCUUCUUUUUAUAGCCUUGUAAAGUUGUCCGUUUUAUAAAUUGAACAGUCCUUAAGCAUUCUUAAUUCUUAUAGGCACUAUAACCAGUAAGAACUAAAUUAGGCCCUGUAAGCCUAUAUAAAGCCUACAAGCUGUAAAUAAGUUUGUCAGUGCUGUCACAGGGCUUGGAGCACAUGACGUUUAUAUCAAUCAAAAUAGAUUUCGACCAAAACAGACUCGAGUCGGUCAUGAUCAAUACAUUUUAAACAUCCAUGUCGGACGGGAUUGACGAAACGGGAUUAUUUUUGUUGUUGGCAUGUUUAUCGGAAUGGUGUUAUAAUGGAAUUUGGUUAUCUUGAUUAUUCCAUUUUUUUCAAUCAAGACAAACUCCAGCUCGUUUCCCUCUUCUUGUGAAACGUUUCCCGACCAUUUAUAUAAACAUUGCUUCUCCUGCAUCAAUUCCUGCGUUCGUUACCACCAACCUUACCACUGAAUCAUCCUCAUCCCAUAUCAUUUUCAACCCUCGAAAUGCCCAAACUAUUUUAUUUUUCAUGGUUUAAAUACUAGUUUGAUCACACCAUUCCCAUGGUGCAUUGGUGGAGCAGAUGAGAAAGGCAACGGACUUGGACUUGAUCAGGAACUCGGAGGACAACAGUUAGAAUCUGGAUGAAGUAGCAAAAAAGCAACUUCAAUGGAAGCGAAGGAAGUUAGAAAAGAACAGGAGAUAAACAAUUUUUUUUUUCUUUUUUCUUUGUCUCACUUUUGACAA
Long non-coding RNA from Aedes albopictus (Asian tiger mosquito), 6490 nucleotides. RefSeq lists it as uncharacterized. The transcript is spliced from 2 exons. The record is from RefSeq and is a predicted model, not a curated record. Lineage: Eukaryota; Metazoa; Arthropoda; Insecta; Diptera; Culicidae.